Molecule: transfer RNA, 63 nt
Filed under: Mendozana platypleura
Lineage: Eukaryota; Metazoa; Arthropoda; Insecta; Hemiptera; Cicadidae
Description: tRNA-Phe
Source: RNAcentral
AUUUAAGUAGCUUAAAUUAGAGCAUAAUAUUGAAGAUAUUAAGGUAAUGAUAAUUCUUAAAUA